GGGCAACGUCACGUGCUGGGGGACGGCCUGGGACGCGGAUGAUUGGGAUUCGGGGGCGUCCUGAGCUGGUGGGAGUUGAUGUGACCUGGGCGCUCGACAGGCCCCCCGAGCCCGCUGCGGUGACCCCCGGCCGGUCCCCGCGGGGAGGGGAGCCCCAGGACGGCCCGCCCCGGCUUCGUCACCGAAAGUGCUUUUAAAAACCCGACUCCUUGUUUCAAGCCGUCUCCUUGAACACUGCGUGCCGGUGGCGUUUGUUCAGGGGCUGGACCGGUUCCCUGUGCUAAGCGGGAUGGGGUUCCAAGCACGCAUUUGGGAACGCCAGGGCCUCGCGCCUGUGCGUUAGAGUCGCACCCCGAGCCCCAGGCAGUGCGGACCUUUGGAAAGUGGAAACCAAGCAGGAGAGCUGCUGGGAUACGCCGUGAGGCCCCCAGCCUGAUGAUAAGGCAAGCGGUGGGCAGAGCAGCCCCGGCCCUGACUCUGAGUUCCCCUGAGUGGUACUGGCCUCACGGGGCAGUUGUCAGCGGUGUGUGCCCUUCACCCAACUGCCUGGUGGUAACCAGAGUUUCUGCGUGCAUCAAAGAUGGAAGAGGUUGUGAAGGCUCCUCAAGGAAAGCAAAAAAUCCAUUGAAGUUGGCGAUGCCAGUGAUUGUUGGUAGUAUUGGGUGACGUAUCUCUCAUGGGCCAGGCGUUACAUGUGCAUUCCCUUUCACCGGCACAAUAGUCUCUGUAUAGGAUCAGACUUCUCACCAUCCCCCAGUUACAGAUGAGGAAACUCACGCCUCUUGUGUACUGAAUAGUAAGUAGCUCCGCAAGCCAUACAGGUCCUUGGAGCAGAGACUUAGUCUGAGAUUCCUACAACUCUAGAAUCUGAGCUCUUAACUGCAAAACAUAUAUAUAUAUAUUAUAUUUAUAUAUAUAUGUGUGUGUGUGUGUGUGUGUGUGAUAAAUCGUGUGUUUUUGCAGCUAGAGUUGGGCCACUGCCUGCAGUGCCCCAGAGGCCACCCCUGACUCUGCUCAGGGGACUACAUGAGGGCUAAGAUCAAGCCAGGGCGGGCCACGUGCAGGGCGAGCCCCUUCUCCCUCUGCUGUCUCGCUGGCGGUGAUGAGAUUAAGGCAGCAAGAUCUCUGGUAUAGCGACUCCUGGGUGCAGACAGACCAUCUGAGUCUCCACACCUGACCGAAUUCCAGCGCCCCUUGGCUGUAGACACAUCCCGCCCUCGCAGCUGCCCCGGGUUGCCUUUGACCCUCCGCCUCUGGGACAUGUUCCCUUUGCCUGCACCCAGAGGACCGAGAGAUCCAUCCAAGGCUGAAACCACUGGCUGGAUUUUUGAGCAAGACGCCGGCGCUUAAACAAGCAGCACAGAGAUGGAGGCCUGGAAAGACCCUGCCUCCGUGGAAAGGCCCGUGAGCAUCCGUAUGGAGGUUUGAGGCAGCCUGCAGGAAGGAGAUGCUUCAGCCAGACCCCAUUCCCGGCUCAGCGGGGAGCGGCGCUUCAGGCCCCGGGGGCUCCUGUACUGAGAGCACGGAGAGAAACACCUCACACCUCCUUCUGGCCAACCCCUGCCCUCCCAGGCCCGGCCUCCUGCCUGCUCAGGGGUCUUCCUUGAUACGAGGAAUCCUGCUGAUGUGGAGCCAAAAACAUAUCUGCAAGUACGCACUAUUAUCAAGUGUCCGUGGCAAACGUUCACCUUGGGAACCGGAGAAGGAAUGUUCUAGAAACUACCAGGGAAUGCAGUUCCUCUCGUUAGCUCAAGAGUGGAAGCACGAACUGGAAUUCUUUCCCACAAGGAGCAGAAAGUAGCCCUCAGCCAGCGCUGGGGCUCCGAGAACGCCCUUCCUGGUGGGAUGUAAGCCUCUUCCACAGACUCCCCUCUCUGCGACAGACAGAGUGACCGGGAGCUCCCUGAAUUCUGCUAGAAACAGGGUCGAUGUUUGCAAGAAAGGUAAACUAAGUAAGGGCUGGAGCAAUAGCACAGUGGGGAGGGUAUUCGCCUUGCAUGUGGCCGACCCGGGUUUGAUCCCCAGCAUCCCAUAGGGUCCCCCAAGCACUGCCAGGAGUAAUUCCUGAGUGCAUGAGCCAGGAGUGACCCCUGAGCAUCACUGGGUGUGACUCAAAGAGCAAAAUAUAAAUAAAAUUUUUUUCCUUUUUUUUAU
Sorex araneus (European shrew) is the source of this 2154-nucleotide long non-coding RNA. RefSeq lists it as uncharacterized. NCBI's taxonomy places the organism in Eukaryota, Metazoa, Chordata, Mammalia, Eulipotyphla, Soricidae. The transcript has 5 exons. The record is from RefSeq and is a predicted model, not a curated record.